GACACUAUGGCCGAGUGGUUAAGGCGUUUGACUCGAAUUCUCAAGCUCAUCAAAUGGGCUCUGCCCGCACAGGUUCAAGUCCUGUUGGUGUCG
Molecule: non-coding RNA, 93 nt
Organism: Auriculariales sp. MPI-PUGE-AT-0066
Lineage: Eukaryota; Fungi; Basidiomycota; Agaricomycetes; Auriculariales
Source: the annotation of a GenBank genome assembly